UCCGUGUUAACCACGGCAGUCUCUUUAGAGUGCCCAACUGAAUGCUGGCAACUAAAGACAAGGGUUGCGCUCGUUGCGGGACUUAACCCAACAUGUCACCACACGAGCUGACGACAGCCAUGCAGCACCUGUCUUCCUGUCGUAUUGCUACGAAAGCCGUAUCUCUACGGAUGUCAGGAGAUGUCAAACCCAGGUAAGGUUUUUCGCGUUGCUUCGAAUUAAACCACAUGAUCCACCGCUUGUGCGGGCCCCCGUCAAUUCCUUUGAGUUUUAGUCUUGCGACCGUACUUCCCAGGCGGGGUACUUAUUGCGUUAGCUUCGUUUCUGAGGGAGUCAAUACCCCCAAAAACCAGUUCUCAUCGUUUACGGCGUGGACUAC
Molecule: unclassified non-coding RNA, 379 nt
Filed under: uncultured Oligoflexales bacterium
Lineage: Bacteria; Pseudomonadati; Bdellovibrionota; Oligoflexia; Oligoflexales
Description: contains 16S-23S intergenic spacer region
Source: RNAcentral